RNAcentral lists this ribosomal RNA (266 nucleotides) under uncultured bacterium. Its description in RNAcentral is "partial 16S ribosomal RNA". It matches the Rfam family "Bacterial small subunit ribosomal RNA", at positions 793 to 1055 of the family's 1533-position model. The record is from RNAcentral.
GUCCUAGCUGUAAACGGUGCGCACUUGCUGUAAGAGGAUUCGAACCCUUUUGUGGCGAAGUUAACACGUUAAGUGCGCCGCCUGGGGAGUACGGUCGCAAGACUAAAACUCAAAGAAAUUGACGGGGCCUGCACAAGCGGUGGAGUAUGUGGCUUAAUUCGAUGCAACGCGAAGAACCUUACCUAGCCUUGACAUGUAUCUAGUAGAAGCCUGAAAGGGUGACGAGGUAGCAAUACCAGGAUACACAGGUGCUGCAUGGCUGUCGU